CAACUUGAGAGUUUGAUCCUGGCUCAGAACGAACGCUGGCGGCAGGCUUAACACAUGCAAGUCGAGCGAUCCCUUCGGGGAUAGCGGCGGACGGGUGAGUAACGCGUGGGAACGUACCCUUUUCUACGGAAUAGCCUCGGGAAACUGGGAGUAAUACCGUAUAAGCCCCCUCAAUCAAAUUUCAUUUGAUUGCUAUUUUUCGAUCUUGUCGAAUAUCGGAUGAGAUUUGAUGGGGGGGGAAAGAUUUAUCGGGAAAGGAUCGGCCCGCGUUGGAUUAGGUAGUUGGUGGGGUAAAGGCCUACCAAGCCUACGAUCCAUAGCUGGUUUGAGAGGAUGAUCAGCCACACUGGGACUGAGACACGGCCCAGACUCCUACGGGAGGCAGCAGUGGGGAAUCUUAGACAAUGGGGGCAACCCUGAUCUAGCCAUGCCGCGUGAUCGAUGAAGGCCUUAGGGUUGUAAAGAUCUUUCAGUGGGGAAGAUAAUGACGGUACCCACAGAAGAAGCCCCGGCUAACUCCGUGCCAGCAGCCGCGGUAAUACGGAGGGGGCUAGCGUUGUUCGGAAUUACUGGGCGUAAAGCGCACGUAGGCGGAUCGGAAAGUUGGGGGUGAAAUCCCGGGGCUCAACCCCGGAACUGCCUUCAAAACUCCCGGUCUUGAGUUCGAGAGAGGUGAGUGGAAUUCCGAGUGUAGAGGUGAAAUUCGUAGAUAUUCGGAGGAACACCAGUGGCGAAGGCGGCUCACUGGCUCGAUACUGACGCUGAGGUGCGAAAGUGUGGGGAG
Molecule: ribosomal RNA, 784 nt
Filed under: Paracoccaceae bacterium
Lineage: Bacteria; Pseudomonadati; Pseudomonadota; Alphaproteobacteria; Rhodobacterales; Paracoccaceae
Description: bacterial SSU rRNA
Rfam family: Bacterial small subunit ribosomal RNA
Source: RNAcentral